CUCAGGAUGAACGCUAGCGGCAGGCCUAACACAUGCAAGUCGAGGGGCAGCGGGGAAAAGCUUGCUUUUCCGCCGGCGACCGGCGCACGGGUGCGCACCGCGUAUGGAACCUGCCUUGUACAGGGGAAUAGCCCAGGGAAACUUGGAUUAAUGCCCCGUAGUACCGUAUUUCGGCAUCGUUAUACGGUUAAAGCCUUCGGGCGGUACAAGAUGGCCAUGCGUCCCAUUAGCUUGUUGGUAAGGUAACGGCUUACCAAGGCUACGAUGGGUAGGGGCCCUGAGAGGGGGAUCCCCCACACUGGUACUGAGACACGGACCAGACUCCUACGGGAGGCAGCAGUGAGGAAUAUUGGACAAUGGAGGAGACUCUGAUCCAGCCAUGCCGCGUGCAGGAAGAAUGCCCUAUGGGUAGUAAACUGCUUUUAUACGGGAAGAAAAAGAGCUACGUGUAGCUUACUGACGGUACCGUAAGAAUAAGGACCGGCUAACUCCGUGCCAGCAGCCGCGGUAAUACGGAGGGUCCGAGCGUUAUCCGGAAUUAUUGGGUUUAAAGGGUCCGUAGGCGGGCCGAUAAGUCAGGGGUGAAAGUCUGCCGCUCAACGGUAGAACUGCCUUUGAUACUGUCGGUCUUGAGUUAUAGUGAAGUUGCCGGAAUAUGUAGUGUAGCGGUGAAAUGCAUAGAUAUUACAUAGAACACCGAUUGCGAAGGCAGGUGACUAACUAUAUACUGACGCUGAUGGACGAAAGCGUGGGGAGCGAACAGGAUUAGAUACCCUGGUAGUCCACGCCGUAAACGAUGGAUACUAGCUGUCCGGAACCUUGAGUUCUGGGCGGCCAAGCGAAAGUGAUAAGUAUCCCACCUGGGGAGUACGUUCGCAAGAAUGAAACUCAAAGGAAUUGAC
Molecule: ribosomal RNA, 902 nt
Filed under: marine metagenome
Description: bacterial SSU rRNA
Rfam family: Bacterial small subunit ribosomal RNA
Source: RNAcentral